CAUCCGCCGCCCGCUCCCUGUCGGACUCGAUGAUCAUGGACAGCCUCUCCUCCUACCUGGUGCUGCCCAACCGGCUCCUGGUGCCGCUGGUGCCCGACCUGCCCGAGGCCGCUCAGCUGCGCUGCCCCCUCCCCAGGGGCGUGGUGCGGGUGACGCUGGG
Molecule: long non-coding RNA, 160 nt
Organism: Passer montanus (Eurasian tree sparrow)
Lineage: Eukaryota; Metazoa; Chordata; Aves; Passeriformes; Passeridae
Exons: 3
Source: RefSeq, a predicted model, not a curated record